AGAGGAAGUAAAAGUCGUAACAAGGUUUCCGUAGGUGAACCUGCGGAAGGAUCAUUAUUGAAAUAAACCUGAUGGGUUGUUGCUGGUUCUCUAGGGAGCAUGUGCACGCCUUGUCAUCUUUAUAUCUCCACCUGUGCACUUUUUGUAGGCCUUUCAGGUCUAUGUUGCUUCAUUUACCCCAAUGUAUGUCAAUAGAAUGUUGUGCCUAUUUAAUAUAUACAACUUUCAGCAACGGAUCUCUUGGCUCUCGCAUCGAUGAAGAACGCAGCGAAAUGCGAUAAGUAAUGUGAAUUGCAGAAUUCAGUGAAUCAUCGAAUCUUUGAACGCACCUUGCGCUCCUUGGUAUUCCGAGGAGCAUGCCUGUUUGAGUGUCAUUAAUAUAUAUAUCAACCUUCUCUUUUUGAGUGGUUUGGAUGUGGGGGUUUGCUGGCCUUGUAAAGGGUUCAGCUCCCCUGAAAUGCAUUAGCAGAACAACCCUGUUCAUUGGUGUGAUAACUAUCUACGCUAUUGAAUGUAAGGGGGCAGUUCAGCUUUCUAACAGUCCUCGGACAAUUCAUCAUUAAUGUGACCUCAAAUCAGGUAGGACUACCCGCUGAACUUAAGCAUAUCA
RNAcentral lists this ribosomal RNA (610 nucleotides) under uncultured Cortinarius. RNAcentral describes it as "eukaryotic LSU rRNA". The stretch from base 221 to 374 matches the Rfam family "5.8S ribosomal RNA". Lineage: Eukaryota; Fungi; Basidiomycota; Agaricomycetes; Agaricales; Cortinariaceae. The record is from RNAcentral.